Molecule: non-coding RNA, 216 nt
Organism: Peromyscus maniculatus bairdii (prairie deer mouse)
Lineage: Eukaryota; Metazoa; Chordata; Mammalia; Rodentia; Cricetidae
Source: RefSeq, a predicted model, not a curated record
AAAAGCCACGACUGACUCAGGCCUGGAGAGAUGGAAUUUCUCGAAUUUCCAGAAAUCACAUGGUGGGAUCUGGUGCCCUCUUCUGAUGACAGGUUGUACAUUCAGAUAGAGUGUUCAUAUACAUAAAAUAAAUAACAUAAAUGUUUUUAUUAUUUAUUUUAUUAUUUUUCGAGACAGGGUUUCUCUGUGUAGUUUUCACUGUCCUGGAACUCACUC